UUGCUGUUUUUCAUAUUCAGUGGAGCAAAAAAAAAAAAGAGACAAUCUACAUGACCAACAAAAAGUCAACCAGAAGUUAAAUAAGGAAUUAGUGCUAAUCUGCAGUUGAUCCAGAUGUAAUCCAUAACAAUUACAUAGAAAACUUCUGGGUUAUUUAAAUAUGCUUUUGCAACACUGUACCUCUAACUUAGAAUUCAGCCUUCUGUGCCCUGUUGUGUGAGGUAUGAGAUGUAAUUCCUACCUUUUUGUUUCUUUUUCAAGCAGUGUCUCUUUCUGCAUAGCGUAAAAAUCUGCUGAUUCUGGCUAAAAUGUAGUGAACAGAAGAUCCUUUAGGACCUGUGUGCAGUAGCAUCUGAACAUGUGAGAGUUCUUUACAAAGAAGUAUCAGAGGACGCUGAGCAUCACCAAUAUGGAUAAGUUCCCACGUAUGUUACCAGUGAAGCGACCAAAGGUGUCUGCAGGAUCUGCUGUGGACAGCAAUUGCAAGAGCUCAUUCAAUUUCAGAGGCGGAAACAGAAUCAUGAAAGGCUGCCAGAACUAAGACACUUCCUCUGAGAGGCAGAAAAUUCCUUUCUUUCCGGACAGAGGCCUAAUCCCAGAAGCAACCAGGAGGGAACAGAAUGUGAUUAGCAUGGUUCUCUGUAGGAAGGAAGAAAACCUGCUCUUCUGCAUGUACCACUCAGCUUGGCCAGAUACAGUCUACCCUAGCGUGGGGACAAGUCUUCAGGUACUAAGCUUUUGAAGUUAGAAAUAAGAGGACUGUGAUAUGGCGAAGAAGCUCAGCAGUUGGAAAGCCAAGAGGCUUUGUCUCCAUUUCAUUCUGCUUUUCUGCUACCAGGAAAGGCAGUCAUGUCGUGUUCUGCAGUGAGGAUGCCCUCUUGUGCCUAAACACUAUUUGUUCUUGAACACACACCUGGCUUCUCACCUGUGCCAUAUACAUGCAGAAGGAUUUCUGUGACAAGUAUCUACAGCAUCGAUUCUCUGGGACUGUAACUCCUUCUGUGUGGUUAAAUUCAGAAUUAAUUUUUCAUGAUAAAAUCAAAAAUAAAUCACAGUCUGCCCAGCAAACCCUUUCUGUUAUGUAUAAAUGUAUCUUGUAUUGUCCGUUUUUUGGGGCAAUUCCCAAGAAAGCUUUCCUUUUUUGGUAUGAGGAAGACUUAUCUUUUCAUUAGUCGUGUGAAAUUAUUGUAGAAAUUCUCCAUAAGAAAGAUAAAUAAUUAGGCCUCUAUGUGGA
Molecule: long non-coding RNA, 1234 nt
Organism: Nothoprocta perdicaria
Lineage: Eukaryota; Metazoa; Chordata; Aves; Tinamiformes; Tinamidae
Exons: 3
Source: RefSeq, a predicted model, not a curated record